This 496-nucleotide ribosomal RNA is filed under the name uncultured bacterium. RNAcentral's name for it is "partial 16S ribosomal RNA". It matches the Rfam family "Bacterial small subunit ribosomal RNA", at positions 29 to 507 of the family's 1533-position model. The record is from RNAcentral.
AUGCACGCUGGCGGCGUGCCUAAUACAUGUAGGUCGAGCGCACGGACGAGAAGCUUGCUUCUCUGAUGUUAGCGGCGGACGGGUGAGUAACACGUGGAUAACCUACCUAUAAGACUGGGAUAACUUCGGGAAACCGGAGCUAAUACCGGAUAAUAUUUUGAACCGCAUGGUUCAAAAGUGAAAGACGGUCUUGCUGUCACUUAUAGAUGGAUCCGCGCUGCAUUAGCUAGUUGGUAAGGUAACGGCUUACCAAGGCAACGAUGCAUAGCCGACCUGAGAGGGUGAUCGGCCACACUGGAACUGAGACACGGUCCAGACUCCUACGGGAGGCAGCAGUAGGGAAUCUUCCGCAAUGGGCGAAAGCCUGACGGAGCAACGCCGCGUGAGUGAUGAAGGUCUUCGGAUCGUAAAACUCUGUUAUUAGGGAAGAACAUAUGUGUAAGUAACUGUGCACAUCUUGACGGUACCUAAUCAGAAAGCCACGGCUAACUACGUG